UGUGAUCCAAAGUAAUGGCCAAUUUGUGAGUUUGUUGGUCAGUGUAUUUACAGAUCGAUCCAUUUCUGGACAAGCCCAGCCCAUUUCCACAACUUCGUCUCUAGGGCUUGAUAUAUUUCUCCCCCAAUUCCAUCUCCGUUCCCUUGGAUGAGCGAUGUCUGCGCUGGUGCUUCCUUCAAGUCUCUCCCGAGGAUCUGCGAGCACGCUCCUCGAAGGGCAUCGCCUCGCCUUCCCAAUCCGCCAUGUGCCUCGCCGGCAAUUUUUUCGGAUCGACGCAAGGAAUAACGCUCGGGAAGAAAGCGCCAAGAUAAGAAACCGGAGGAUGCAAAGAAAGUACAAUGGUUCGGCUAGGAAGCCUAGACUCUCUGUGUUCUGCUCCAACAAACAAUUGUAUGCGAUGCUGGUCGAUGAUCAAAACAAGAAAACUCUCUUCUACGGCAGUACGUUGCAGAAAUCGAUUCGGGGAAAUCCUCCAUGUACCAGUGCUGAAGCUGCUCAGAAGGUGGGCGAAGAGCUGAUCGAAGCGUGCAAGAAUCUGAACAUAUCUGAAAUAUCCUCUUACGAUCGUAAUGGUUGCAAGACGGGUGAAAGAAUAUCAGCAUUCGAGAUUCCUAUCUCACUACAUGGCUUCUUGUUUAGUUAGCUUCAAUUCCCAACUUUUGCAUCAUGUAUAUAAAUUCGAGGGACAGCAAACACUAAUUAUAACAUGGUGGCUUAAUUUGAGUCUCCCAAUUCGUCUUCCACAGUAGCAGACACAUGGAACCCGGCAACAUACUAUAGCAACACAGAAUCCAGCUAAGAUUUUAGCAUAAAGAAAGAAUCUAAGCUUAGAUUCCAAAGAAAAAUGUCAAACUGCAAGUACAGCACCGCAUUAAUUAAAUCAUUUUUCGGAGACCUCGCAAGGUAGGACACGCAAGCUUUGGCUUUGUUUCCCCUUCCUGUGUCACUGUUGCUUGGCAGACGACUUCCUCCUCCCAGGGAUGCACUUCCCUCUCGCGCCGUCUCCUCCUCCAUUUUCUUUCUCUAGCUCCGACCUCCCUUCUCCAAUCCCAGA
Molecule: RNA transcript, 1054 nt
Organism: Zingiber officinale
Lineage: Eukaryota; Viridiplantae; Streptophyta; Magnoliopsida; Zingiberales; Zingiberaceae
Gene name: 50S ribosomal protein L18-like
Exons: 5
Source: RefSeq, a predicted model, not a curated record